RNAcentral lists this long non-coding RNA (1597 nucleotides) under Homo sapiens (human). RNAcentral's name for it is "non-protein coding lnc-CSPP1-1:3". Lineage: Eukaryota; Metazoa; Chordata; Mammalia; Primates; Hominidae. The record is from RNAcentral.
CGGCGGCGGCGGCGCUCCCUGCCCAGAGCUGCCGCGGCGCCGGGAGGCUGGGGGCGGAGGGCGGCGCGGGAGGAGCGGCCCGAGCCGCAGCGCUACGGCGGCCCGGCGGGGCCUCCAGCGUUCGCCUGCAGGGCGGCGUGGGGCGUGGCGGGCCUCUGGUGGCACCGCGCCCAGCACUUCGGGCUCUUGGUGGCGGCCGAGCUGCGGGACCAGAGAUCCCCCCACUCGGCACCCCUGCUCCUGCCGAGUGAACAGGACUCCUGGCUACUCUGCACUGGCUUUCUAACUUUCUGAUGGGGGUGCAGUCCUUUGCAUUCCAGGGGUCACAGCAACACCCGCAUCGCCCGUUCUCAGCCGCAGGGUCUCCGCCUGCAUCACUCGACUCUAAAAUUUCCUUCCCUAGUGCACGGAACUGCUGUCCAGGACUCUGCUCUCCGACUACCUCAGGGAGGAUUCUGUUUUGGGAAAAAUGCUAUGUUAUGCAUUGGGGAUCAAAUAUGAAGAAGCCACAGACCCUGAGUUGAGGAACAUAAAGAUUAUGCUGGAAGACAUAAAGCACCUCAAAUCCACUGCUCACAACUGGACUCAUGUUUUUCACCGGAUUCUGACCUCCUACUAGCUGCCAAAUCUUGGAGGCAGCAAAGAAGAAAGUAAGUUGUCUGGCAUUGGUAAGUUCCGGAGAAUCAAGUGCAGAAUCACUGCAGAGGACCUAAAAAUAACCACACAUCCAAUGCAGGACACACUGGCAGAACGAAGCCUGUUACAGCUAAGGCCAAAGAAAGGGGCACAGUCACCAUCAAGCUGAAGACCAGCCUCAACUGGACGGGACAGGAAUAUCACUUAGGACUGGUAAACACUGCGGCACCAAAAUGGGUGCAUCUCAACACAAAGGAGGUAUUUUAAAUUCAAUACCAGAAGAAUCAAUUGGAGUCGGGGAGAGUUUACAGGGAAGUUUUUUUUUUUUUUUUUUUCAAAGGGGAGCUUAAUCUAUAAAGAUAGCUGACAUCACACUACAAGAUGCUCAUUAAAUACAAAAUGGUCAAUCAAAUAACAGUUUGAAAGUAACGAGAAGAAAAGGCUUCAUAAAUGAAGGGUGAAAAACUGAAAAUGAUCUCCUCAUCUUGUAUAUUCUAGUUAUUUUUAUACUUAGUUAUACUUAGAACCACCCAGAGUGACUAAUCUAACAGGGCAGGUGAAGACUAGAAAAUGUUGCCAAUUAAUCUACAUUUUCUAAUAAGAAACAUAAAUAUUUGAAAUGUUUUGUGUCACCAGGAAGAAUAUACUACUAGAUACAUGUCUAUUCUUUUUCCUAAGUAAUGCCAUUUCACAUUUCACACAGAGAUAGCCUAACAACAGUGAUUCAUUGGUUGUAUUUGCUCAUGAGAAGAAGCCAGGACAACUUUGGUAUUGUGAAGAUCUAAUCUGUAAGGAUAUUUUACCUACCAAAAAAGAAAGUACAGAUGUCUUCACUUUGCAUGGCUCUUAUAUACACAAAUUUGUUACUGCACUUUAGUUAAAUAACACCAGUCCUCCCACAGAAGUGUGAAUUUUGGUUACCACUGCUACAAAUCACUAUAUAAAUAAAAAUGAGCAUCAA